RNAcentral lists this ribosomal RNA (491 nucleotides) under Kodamaea sp. RNAcentral describes it as "partial large subunit ribosomal RNA". It matches the Rfam family "Eukaryotic large subunit ribosomal RNA", at positions 62 to 648 of the family's 3401-position model. Lineage: Eukaryota; Fungi; Ascomycota; Pichiomycetes; Serinales; Debaryomycetaceae. The record is from RNAcentral.
AAACCAACAGGGAUUGCCUCAGUAACGGCGAGUGAAGCGGCAAAAGCUCAAAUUUGAAACCGGUAACGGGUUGUAAUUUGAAGAUUGUGUUUUGGGGACGACCGUGUCUAUGUUCCUUGGAACAGGACGUCACAGAGGGUGAGAAUCCCGUGCGAUGCGGCCUCCGUCCCUCUAUAAAACACUCUCGAAGAGUCGAGUUGUUUGGGAAUGCAGCUCAAAGUGGGUGGUAAAUUCCAUCUAAAGCUAAAUACUGGCGAGAGACCGAUAGCGAACAAGUACAGUGAUGGAAAGAUGAAAAGCACUUUGAAAAGAGAGUGAAACAGUACGUGAAAUUGUUGAAAGGGAAGGGCAUGCCGUCAGAUUGCCAGUAUCGAUUGGCGAGGGUGGAUAAAAGUGUUGGAACGUGGCCUUCGGGUGUUAUAGCCUUCACCAAUACACCCCGACCGAUCGAGGACUGCUUUUAGGAUACUGGCGUAAUGACGGUACGCCGC